GAUGAACGCUAGCGGCAGGCCUAACACAUGCAAGUCGAGGGAGGAGCUUUCGGGCUUCGACCGGCGUACGGGUGCGUAACGCGUAUACAAUCUGCCUUUCACAUAGGGAUAGCCCGAAGAAAUUUGGAUUAAUACCUAAUGGUAUAUAGAGGUGGCAUCACCUUUAUAUUAAAGCUGAGGCGGUGAAAGAUGGGUAUGCGUUCUAUUAGCUAGUUGGAGAGGUAACGGCUCCCCAAGGCGACGAUAGAUAGGGGUUCUGAGAGGGAUAUCCCCCACACUGGUACUGAGAUACGGACCAGACUCCUACGGGAGGCAGCAGUGAGGAAUAGUGGACAAUGGUCGGAAGACUGAUCCAGCCAUGCCGCGUGCAGGAAGACGGCCUUAUGGGUUGUAAACUGCUUUUGCAGGGGAAGAAUAAGGACUACGCGUAGUUUGAUGACGGUACUCUGCGAAUAAGCAUCGGCUAACUCCGUG
RNAcentral lists this ribosomal RNA (474 nucleotides) under uncultured bacterium. Its description in RNAcentral is "partial 16S ribosomal RNA". It matches the Rfam family "Bacterial small subunit ribosomal RNA", at positions 28 to 507 of the family's 1533-position model. The record is from RNAcentral.